This is a non-coding RNA of Amanita rubescens, 103 nucleotides long. The record is from the annotation of a GenBank genome assembly. NCBI's taxonomy places the organism in Eukaryota, Fungi, Basidiomycota, Agaricomycetes, Agaricales, Amanitaceae.
GCCUUCUUGGCUCAGCUGGUUAGAGCGCAGGUCUCAUACUGCUGUGUGAGGGGUGUCACACCCUGUAAUCCUGAGGUCGCAAGUUCGAGCCUUGCAGAGGGCA